GGGGAAUAUUGGACAAUGGGGGGAACCCUGAUCCAGCCAUGCCGCGUGUGUGAAGAAGGCCUUAUGGUUGUAAAGCACUUUAAGCGAGGAGGAGGCUACUAGUAUUAAUACUACUGGAUAGUGGACGUUACUCGCAGAAUAAGCACCGGCUAACUCUGUGCCAGCAGCCGCGGUAAUACAGAGGGUGCGAGCGUUAAUCGGAUUUACUGGGCGUAAAGCGUGCGUAGGCGGCUUUUUAAGUCGGAUGUGAAAUCCCCGAGCUUAACUUGGGAAUUGCAUUCGAUACUGGGAAGCUAGAGUAUGGGAGAGGAUGGUAGAAUUCCAGGUGUAGCGGUGAAAUGCGUAGAGAUCUGGAGGAAUACCGAUGGCGAAGGCAGCCAUCUGGCCUAAUACUGACGCUGAGGUACGAAAGCAUGGGGAGCAAACA
Molecule: ribosomal RNA, 427 nt
Filed under: uncultured Acinetobacter sp.
Lineage: Bacteria; Pseudomonadati; Pseudomonadota; Gammaproteobacteria; Moraxellales; Moraxellaceae
Description: bacterial SSU rRNA
Rfam family: Bacterial small subunit ribosomal RNA
Source: RNAcentral